UUUAAUUUCCGAUUAAACUUUAUUUAAUUUCGAGGAACCAUUUCAGGUCACGGGCUAAUCAGGCUCACAGAUCUGAGUGCGGACAGCAGGGGUCCCCAGUUCACUGCGUGCUGGCGGUGUACUCCCUGCCUCGGUAAAACUCUCCUUUUAGUCAGCAGUCUGCCAAAAUCGACGCUGGAUCGAAACAUUAGAAUAAAACAGAAAAAUGUAGUGAUUGUUAUCUGAUGUUUACCUAAAAUUAACGUAAAACAAACUGCCCGGCCGCCGUGACGUCCUCAACAGAGUUGCGCGCGCCUGUUGGCAGCGGAAGUUGACUUUAGUUGUUUCUCAUAACUUCCGUAACCCGUGCUAACCACAAAAACCAAACAGUUUUAAAGCAAAAAUGAUAGUUUGCUGCGUGUCUGGUUGUAAAAAGCGGUAUAUCCGCAGCAAAAAAUUGAAAUUUUACAAAAUACCGUCUCGGGGCCACCGGAGGCGUUUGUGGCUGCGAGCAAUACAAGAAGCGAACGGCAGCACUGCGAGACUCACGGAAAAUGAUCGCGUUUGUGGCGCUCAUUUCAUAUCAGGAGAAGCAUCUAUGGAGCGUGAUAAGCCGGACUUUGUGCCUUCUGUUUUUACCUGCACCCAAAAAAAUCAAAGCCCUAAGAAAAAAGUGAAAUGGUUUUAUGGUCGUAGAAAAAGGCAUCGCCGGAAGGCAAGAGGCAGAAGAGAGGAAAAUGCAGCUCCAAUUCGAGCUGAGUCUUCUGUGAAUCCUGAGCCGUCUGUUUUGACGGGAACUGAAAGUGAACUUUCAGAAGAAAUGCAGACGCCAGCAACCCCCUCAGUGCCAAAGGAAGGAGAAACGGUGGCAAAAGUGUCUGAGACUGAAGCAGAAACCCAAAUUAUCCAGACUCAAACAAUCAACUUAAAUAAGACAUCACCAUCCUUCAAAGGACUACCAGACACCCUAAAACUAGAUAAGAGAAGGCCAAUUGUGCUCCUGAAACCUUUAGUUGCAUCAGAAGGUGGUUAUCGGUGUGAACUGUGCAGUCAGACCUUCACUGAUAUACCACAGCUGGUAAAACACAAACGGCUGCAUGAAGAACAAAGGUCCUUUGUCUGUGAAAAUUGUGGAAAAAGCUUCAUAAGUCAGGCAGAUUUCAGUGAGCACCAUGCUGUGCACAGAGAUGAGCCCCUCUUUCCGUGCAACAUGUGUGAUCGAUCUUUCACCACAAUUCACCAACUGAAGCGUCAUAAACUGCUCCAUGUUAAAGAUGGCAGGAAGUGCCUCAGGUGUGGCACGCUGUUCUGUCAGCGUCACAACCACAUUUUAUUCCUUCCGCAGACAGAGUUUAAAACAGAGUCUGAGCCUGAGGACAGUUCCUCUAGGAGUGAGACGGAAAAUGAACUGGAACCAAGCCAGAUGACUGAAAUACCUGGCAACACUCAGAGCUCAAGGACCGUUACACCUCCACUGUCUACUUCUGCUCCAACUGCUGCUCCUACACCCCCAAAUCCUGGAUUUCUAUCCAAGCCCCCACCUUUGGCUACAUUUAGUAGAUUACCAGAAAUCCCCCCACCUGUGUUGCUGAGACCGUGUCCUGUGCCUCGUCGACUCUAUCCAGAAGUGAGACACUCAGAAAACCCGGGUACCUCAUUUCACCAUGACUUCUUCACCCAAAAUACAGAACUUCCAUCUUCACUGAAGAUCUUUUCACCUCAGUACCUCACCUCAGCCUUCUUAGAGGUUAAAAGAAAUUAUCAAUAUAUUUUAAGCAAGCCGAAAAAGUGUAGGGUUAAGAAUCCGGUGAAGAAGGAACAAAGUGAGGCACCAAUAAUUUCACCAGAAGAACACACUCAGCCAGAAAAAAAGGAGAGAAUAGCUUAUGACCUGGAGAUGGUGCUCUGAUCUGAAUAAUGGAUUAGAAUGACCUGUUUACUUACCUGACCUGUUUGCCUUACUUAAGAUGUUCAACAUUAGUGCUCCUAUCCUAUUAGUGUUUCUGUUCUUUGAGUUAAAAGGCAUUUUUAACAAAAGCAAGGAUGUGUUCAGUAUUAAGCCUGUAGUAUUUGGCUUGUACUUGCACUACUUUUGCCUCUCUUAGCACACUGAUAUAUUUGUAAUUACUGUAAUGCUGAUAUUUUUUUUUUUAGUUUUGUAGUUAAAAUCUUUCACUUCUUAAUCAGUGAUGAGGUGCAAUUGUUUUUUUCACUACUGUUUGAUAAGUAAUACUGUUAUGUAUGUAAAGAUAACUGACCUGUGUUGUAAAACCGCACCAGGUGGGAUUUGGGCUUCAGGCUGUAUUCUGUACUUGGCAAUUUGUGCCGUAAUAAUCACUUUAGUCUGUGGAAAAAUGCACCGUGUGCUACAAACGGCAUCAAUAAUAUGAUCAAGCUUCUCUAAUAACAAUUGCCACACAAUUCGGUUUUCACAUCUGCCUCAGCUAACUGGAAACAGAUAGCGGUUGCAGCUUUAUAUUACAUAUAUAAACCGAUCAGCCGUAACCUUGAAACCAUGAAUAACCUUGAUUGCACUAUUACAGUGGUUGGUUCUGCUGGCAAACCUUGAGCUCCCAGGAAUUCGUGUGGGUGUUACUUUUACGCGCAACACACGCCUACAAAUGGAAAGGCUUGAAGAGCAUGACAAAGAGUCCAAGGUGUUGACAGGACCUCUAAACUCUCAGAUCUCAAUCCAGAAAAACCGCUGAUCCACAGUGGCCACUACAGCAGAAGACAGCUGUUGCUCCUGGCCACAUGCCGAAGAGGACAAAUCCAGAGGGUCCAGUAUGCAUGCCCUGAGGGAUUACAGUCAUUUUGUCAGAUAUCAGGUGGUUUUUAUGUUGUUGAUCAUAUGCAGUGUAUAUGAUCAACAACGUAUGUAUGAUAUAGCUACAGUUACAUCAACCAUUUGUUACAUUUUGUGCGUUUUUUUUUUAAGUUGUCCUCUUUGUUUUUGUUUUUUUUUGUUUUUUAAUCUGUAUAUGAGAAGUGGAUCUGACUGUGAAACCAGUGCUGUUUGUUUCCUAAUAAAUACCGUUUAUGGUUAGAGUAAACAACUGCCAGCUUAAAAAUGCCUCCAUCAAGCGUUUGUCGAAUUUUUAAAGUGAACACUAAAAUCAUCUGUGAGUAGAAUUAACAGUACCAACAGUCCUCCAUUAACUACAAUCAAUUAAGUGUAGUUUAGAGACUGUAUAUAAAAGAUGUACAUAGUCACAGGGAUGUCAUCCAUUGAUUGCUAAGCUCCAUUUUUUUUUUUAAACUCUGUGUUUUUUGUUGUUGCCAUUUUAGCUUUUUGAAACUGGACUUCACAAGUGUGUGUAGAGGUAAAACUGAGGGAUACUAAGGGAUGCACCAUGUUUUUGUUGCUUUUUUUGGCUUGAAUGGGGGCUGUAGCUAGCAACUAAGACUAAUUGGGAAAAUGUUUACUGCAGUCAUAGGUCAUAAAGGGUCAUUUUUCCUCACGAUCAUAUUGGUUGCAUAAAACCCAAUAUGGUCAACCCACGUCACUUUUUAGCUGGCUUUUAGUCACUAGUGGAUCUUCCACACUGCAGUUGUGUAGUGGAUCCUUUUAAUGUAUUCAUGAAAAUCUUAUAUCAAUUAACAGUACGUUUUGAUCCCAUGCUUAACUCCAAACGUGCCCACGUUCCAUCGUUUGGGGUUAUGUCACCUGCUGUUUCUACAAGUUGCUGAAUUUAAUUGACAUUUCGUGGUCUCUUAUAUGGAUUAAGGCACCUUCGGCUUCGCUUUUCUGACUUGUGAGCUAUGACCAUCUUUUAUAUGCAAUCUAUGAUAUUUGCAAUGUUUGCACACAACAUGGAGUUUUGAUUUCCCAUUUGUAAAAAACAACAACUUUGGAGAGGUUACGUUUUAUUUUAUUUUUGUUUGUUUGUUUUGUUCUCCUUCAGCUGACCUGUAUGUAUAUGUACUCAAAUGUAGAAAUGGCAGAAAACAUGGACAAAUGGAAAGAUUGAACUACCAUGUACCCAUUUCCCCCACACCAAGAAGCACCUAACCUGCUAUAGCUGUAACAAGCAGUACACUAGUUCUCUACCCAUUACAACCUGAAACAUUCUGCAUUUCACUGUGUUCACCUUACUGUCUGUUAAGAUUUUCUUUACAAUUGAUACAUUUCCAAAUAAAACAUUCUUGGAAUAGCAUUAUCUGUUAAAAUAGCUAAAGCUGUUUGUCAGCUGGUGAUUUGCAGCUGUCUACUGCAUGCCCAUUAGACUUGCUCUCACAUGGACACAGGAACAAGAGAAAAAAAUAAGCUGUAUGAAGUGAAGUAUGGUCUUUACAUAAUGUAAUAAAAUUAAAUUACUGUAUUAUAUUUUUUUGACUUUUCUUAAUGCAUAGAUUUCACAGAGUUGUAACAGUUUUGAAGGAAAGUUCAAGGUUGUCAGACCAAGUAGUCUGUCCUGAUGGUGGGUCUAGAGGGAUUGUUAAAAUGACCCAAAAAUGUCUGUCUAACUUUCUUGGACAGUCUUCCUGUCAGUGUGUCACACUGCAUUAAAACCACCUGCUUGUUCUGUGAGCUGACUGCACAGAAAAACCCUGCAGUACAGCAACAAUAAGGUGUGUACUAGUUUUCAUUGCUUGGAGCUUUUCUUGCUAUGCAGCUGAAUUUUCCAAGGAGGAUUUUUACUUUAACUGCUGCAUGGAUGUGAAGUAAAAAAAGGACCCCAUUGCUCUAUAAUCCAACCUGCCAACCACAGUUUACAUAGUAAAAGUCCUAUUUGGCCAUACAGAUGUUUUCAGUUAACAUUGCGGUUAUAAAGCCUUUAUGUAAUCAACUUCUGGGUCGUUAGGUUCAGCUGCAUUGAUCUGGUGAAUGUUUUUGCACUGUCUGCAAUUGAGCCGUGACAAAUAUUUUAAUAAUUAAUCAUAAUGUGAAAAUGCAGACUUGAUUCGACUGUUCCGGAGAAAGCUGGAUCCGAUGUGACUGACAAAGUGUUAAAUUUUUUUAAAGAUGAAAAACCCUACUUUAUAUUAAAAAAAAUGUUUAUACAUUGACAAGUAAACCAG
This 5001-nucleotide long non-coding RNA is filed under the name Oreochromis niloticus (Nile tilapia). Its description in RNAcentral is "lncRNA (ENSONIG00000037908.1)". The record is from RNAcentral. Lineage: Eukaryota; Metazoa; Chordata; Actinopteri; Cichliformes; Cichlidae.